UACAGAGGGGGCAAGCGUUGUUCGGAAUUACUGGGCGUAAAGGGCGCGUAGGCGGCCCUCUAAGUCAGACGUGAAAUCCCCCGGCUUAACCUGGGAACUGCGUCUGAUACUGGAGGGCUUGAGUAUGGGAGAGGGAUGUAGAAUUCCAGGUGUAGCGGUGAAAUGCGUAGAUAUCUGGAGGAAUACCGGUGGCGAAGGCGGCAUCCUGGACCAUUACUGACGCUGAGGCGCGAAAGCGUGGGGAGCAAACAGG
This 253-nucleotide ribosomal RNA is filed under the name uncultured bacterium. RNAcentral describes it as "partial 16S ribosomal RNA". It matches the Rfam family "Bacterial small subunit ribosomal RNA", at positions 524 to 776 of the family's 1533-position model. The record is from RNAcentral.